GCCGAAACUGAGUCACAUCCGAAUUUUUUUUUUGUACCCGGAAUCGAACUCAGGAACUUGUGCUUGUCAGGCAGGUGACAGAACCACUGAGAUAAAUCCCCAGCCCACAUAUGCAUUUUUGAAUAAAUCAUGGUACCAUUUAUUUGACUCUCUUUAGAAUGAUAAAUCUUGGCCUUGGAGGUAAGGUCAUUUCUUCAAACUGAUAUUUGUUAAUUGCUGGGUAGCAUAAUGGCCCGGGCCACGCCCAUGGCACGGUGAGGUCUCAGAGGUGUCUUGCAGCCCCACCCCCACCUGACGCUCUCAAAGCUGCAGCGACCGGCUCCGUUGAGACAAGACAAGCAGCUUGGGGUUCCUGCGGCCGUCCCGGGCCAUGCCCACGGCACGGUCCCACUCCAGGAUGAAAAGGAGUCAAGCCUGACUCUGGAUACUCAAGCUUGCUUAGAGCUUUUGAAGAUGGAUGUAAGGGAAUCCAUGGUCAACCAUCUUGUGCGAUCCUUGCUUCAAGGGAACUGUUUGUUCCUGCACAAGUUUUUGCAAAACUACCAAGAUUUGGGACCAUGCAGCAGGAGCUGGAUCUGCUGUUGAAAAGCCCAGGCAGCAGCACCAGUGCCAGGUCCAACUGGAGAGCGAGAGGCAGCUCCAGCAGCAGCCUCUAAGCCAGCAGUAGAUCCACCACCCAUUCUGGGGCAAGAGUUGGCUGCAGUGCCAGCUCCAUGGCCAGGUGCACCUAGAAAGCUACCUUGGGUUAUUCCAAAGAAGAAGCAGACUGGAACUGAGACUCUGGAGCUGGAGCCAGCCACAGCAGGCCCACUUCUACCAGUGGUGCCAUCCUGGCCUUCACCUAUGACCAUGAAAACCAGGGAUUCCACCUGGUUGCAGCAGGGCAAAAAGGCCAAGGAGCAGCUGCCGGCCUCCAUCUGCACCACUGUCAUUCAUCUCCCAAGUGUGUCAUCAGCACCGUCCUCAGGCACUACAUCAUGAAAGCCUCAGGCCAUGCCCAGGUGGUGGAGCACAGGGUCUCCAGGGACCCUCAGGAGUGCCAAAUUCUGAGGAACCGUGCCUCUCUCUCUGGGCUGUGAAUCAGCGUUAUCCAGUGCCUGAUGGAAACCUGGCAAGACUUCUCCAGGUGGCUGCACCUCUCCAUUGGAGCUCCAGGUGAACCAGCACCAUAAACUGGACAAAAUAUGUGCAGAACUUGUCUGUGAAGGUAGAAAUGUCUAGAAUGUAUUUUAUAAAGUUCCCC
Molecule: long non-coding RNA, 1243 nt
Filed under: Heterocephalus glaber (naked mole-rat)
Lineage: Eukaryota; Metazoa; Chordata; Mammalia; Rodentia; Bathyergidae
Description: lncRNA (ENSHGLG00000030952.2)
Source: RNAcentral